This 449-nucleotide ribosomal RNA is filed under the name uncultured bacterium. Its description in RNAcentral is "partial 16S ribosomal RNA". It matches the Rfam family "Bacterial small subunit ribosomal RNA", at positions 338 to 795 of the family's 1533-position model. The record is from RNAcentral.
CCUACGGGGGGCAGCAGUGGGGAAUAUUGGACAAUGGGGGCAACCCUGAUCCAGCAAUGCCGCGUGUGUGAAGAAGGCCUGCGGGUUGUAAAGCACUUUCAGUAGGGAAGAAAAGCUCGGGGCUAAUACCUCCGGGUCUUGACGUUACCUAAAGAAGAAGCACCGGCUAACUCCGUGCCAGCAGCCGCGGUAAUACGGAGGGUGCGAGCGUUAGUCGGAAUUACGUAGCGGAAUGCGCACGUAGGAUGUUAAAGCCCUCGGCUUAACCUGGGAACGGCAUUCGAUACUGCCCGGCUAGAGUAUAGGAGAGGGAAGCGGAAUUUCCGGUGUAGCGGUGAAAUGCGUAGAGAUCGGAAGGAACACCAAUGGCGAAGGCAGCUUCCUGGCCCAAUACUGACGCUGAGGUGCGAAAGCGUGGGGAUCAAACAGGAUUAGAUACCCUUGUAGUC